UUCACAUUGAAAUUGCUUUCCUUGAGAUGG
This 30-nucleotide non-coding RNA is filed under the name Rattus norvegicus (Norway rat). The record is from RNAcentral. Lineage: Eukaryota; Metazoa; Chordata; Mammalia; Rodentia; Muridae.